AAAAAAGGUAAGCUACUAAGAGCGAAUGGUGGAUGCCUUGACUGGUAAAGGCGAUGAAGGACGUACUAGACUGCGAUAAGCUACGGGGAGCUGUCAAGAAGCUUUGAUCCGUAGAUUUCCGAAUGGGGCAACCCAAUGUAUAGAGAUAUACAUUACCUAUAUAGGAGCGAACGAGGGGAAUUGAAACAUCUUAGUACCCUCAGGAAAAGAAAUCAAUAGAGAUUGCGUCAGUAGCGGCGAGCGAAAGCGCAAGAGGGCAAACCCAGUGCUUGCACUGGGGGUUGUAGGACUGCAAUGUGCAAGAGGUGAGUUUAGCAGAACAUUCUGGAAAGUAUAGCCAUAGAGGGUGAUAGUCCCGUAUGCGAAAAACAAACCUUAGCUAGCAGUAUCCUGAGUAGGGCGGGACACGAGAAAUCCUGUCUGAAGCUGGGUCGACCACGAUCCAACCCUAAAUACUAAUACCAGAUCGAUAGUGCACAAGUACCGUGAGGGAAAGGUGAAAAGAACUGAGGUGAUCAGAGUGAAAUAGAACCUGAAACCAUUUGCUUACAAUCAUUCAGAGCCCUAUGUAGCAAUACAGGGUGAUGGACUGCCUUUUGCAUAAUGAGCCUGCGAGUUGUGGUGUCUGGCAAGGUUAAGCAAACGCGAAGCCGUAGCGAAAGCGAGUCUGAAUAGGGCGCUUAGUCAGAUGCUGCAGACCCGAAACGAAGUGAUCUAUCCAUGAGCAAGUUGAAGCUAGUGUAAGAACUAGUGGAGGACUGAACCCAUAGGCGUUGAAAAGCCCCGGGAUGACUUGUGGAUAGGGGUGAAAGGCCAAUCAAACUUCGUGAUAGCUGGUUCUCUCCGAAAUAUAUUUAGGUAUAGCGUUGUGUCGUAAUAUAAGGGGGUAGAGCACUGAAUGGGCUAGGGCAUACACCAAUGUACCAAACCCUAUCAAACUCCGAAUACCUUAUAUGUAAUCACAGCAGUCAGGCGGCGAGUGAUAAAAUCCGUCGUCAAGAGGGAAACAACCCAGACUACCAGCUAAGGUCCCUAAAUCUUACUUAAGUGGAAAACGAUGUGAAGUUACUUAAACAACCAGGAGGUUGGCUUAGAAGCAGCCAUCCUUUAAAGAAAGCGUAAUAGCUCACUGGUCUAGUGAUUUUGCGCGGAAAAUAUAACGGGGCUAAAGUAAGUACCGAAGCUGUAGACUUGCGCACAACUUAGAUUAUUUAAGUUUAGAAUAUGAGAAACUAAGUUAUAUGUUUAGUUAUAUUUUUACUGAUUUUUAUAGAGUAAAGAUAGAAAUAAAACUUAGUAAAAUCAGUAAAAAUAUUCUUAGACUAAAGUUAAGUAGUUUAAGUUGUGUGCAAGUGGUAGGAGAGCGUUCUAUUUGCGUCGAAGGUAUACCGGUAAGGAGUGCUGGAGCGAAUAGAAGUGAGCAUGCAGGCAUGAGUAGCGAUAAUUAAUGUGAGAAUCAUUAACGCCGUAAACCCAAGGUUUCCUACGCGAUGCUCGUCAUCGUAGGGUUAGUCGGGUCCUAAGCCGAGUCCGAAAGGGGUAGGCGAUGGCAAAUUGGUUAAUAUUCCAAUACCAACAUUAGUGUGCGAUGGAAGGACGCUUAGGGCUAAGGGGGCUAGCGGAUGGAAGUGCUAGUCUAAGGUCGUAGGAGGUUAUACAGGCAAAUCCGUAUAACAAUACUCCGAGAACUGAAAGGCUUUUUGAAGUCUUCGGAUGGAUAGAAGAACCCCUGAUGCCGUCGAGCCAAGAAAAGUUUCUAAGUUUAGCUAAUGUUGCCCGUACCGUAAACCGACACAGGUGGGUGGGAUGAGUAUUCUAAGGCGCGUGGAAGAACUCUCUUUAAGGAACUCUGCAAAAUAGCACCGUAUCUUCGGUAUAAGGUGUGGUUCGCUUCGUACUAGGAUUUACUCCGAAAGCGAAGAAACUUACAACAAAGAGUCCCUCCCGACUGUUUACCAAAAACACAGCACUCUGCUAACUCGUAAGAGGAUGUAUAGGGUGUGACGCCUGCCCGGUGCUCGAAGGUUAAUUGAUGGGGUUAGCAUUAGCGAAGCUCUUGAUCGAAGCCCGAGUAAACGGCGGCCGUAACUAUAACGGUCCUAAGGUAGCGAAAUUCCUUGUCGGUUAAAUACCGACCUGCAUGAAUGGCGUAACGAGAUGGGAGCUGUCUCAAAGAGGGAUCCAGUGAAAUUGUAGUGGAGGUGAAAAUUCCUCCUACCCGCGGCAAGACGGAAAGACCCCGUGGACCUU
RNAcentral lists this ribosomal RNA (2250 nucleotides) under Campylobacter coli. RNAcentral's name for it is "partial 23S ribosomal RNA". It matches the Rfam family "Bacterial large subunit ribosomal RNA", at positions 1 to 2101 of the family's 2925-position model. The record is from RNAcentral. Lineage: Bacteria; Pseudomonadati; Campylobacterota; Epsilonproteobacteria; Campylobacterales; Campylobacteraceae.